CCUAAUUUCGCGAUUUCCUUCUCCCUUUGUCGCUGUCGCGAUUUCCUUCUCCUCUGCCGCGAUUUCUUUCUCUUCUCUCUGCCGCGAUUUCCUUCUCCUCCCUCUGUCGUCACGAUUUCCCUUCCGCCGCAAUCUCCUCCGUCAACCACAACCCUCCACCACUGGUUCUUGGGCUUCUCCGUCAGCCCAACUCUUAUCUUUAAAACCAGCCGGCGUUUUCCCUUCUCCUCCCUCUGUCACGAUUUUCCUUCUGCCGUGAUCUCCUCCGUCAACCGCAACCCUCUGCCACUGGUUCUUGGUAUUCUCCGUCAGCCUAGACGAACUGGUUUCUCUUGUUCUCUCUCGGCCAGGUUCUUAGAUUUUUCUCCUGCCAACCUUCCAACGUUGAGGUUCAUCGGAUCGAUAUUCUUACACGCAGGUCCUUGAAGAAGGCAACAAAACACCUAGUGCUAAUCCUGAUUUUAAAAUUCUAACUUCAUCUUUCCUGUGUCAAACAAGAAAUGAAUAAGAGAGAUAUAACUCUCCCCAUUGUUGCAGUUGUAAAAUAGAAUCUCACUUUUAAAUACUGUGGCAAUUGGUAGUCUCAGAUCUUCACUUCCAUUCAACUUGAGAAAUACUUGCACUUGUCUGUCUUGAAACACCAUGUAGGCGCUUGAAAAUUGUAAAAUGUUGUUUUGAGUUUAUCAUCUUUCUUGAAACAGCAUUUUUACGUAUGGUUUAUUGAAAUCCUUUUAUUUGCUCUCUUUA
Molecule: long non-coding RNA, 747 nt
Organism: Zingiber officinale
Lineage: Eukaryota; Viridiplantae; Streptophyta; Magnoliopsida; Zingiberales; Zingiberaceae
Exons: 3
Source: RefSeq, a predicted model, not a curated record